Molecule: ribosomal RNA, 587 nt
Filed under: uncultured bacterium
Lineage: Bacteria
Description: bacterial SSU rRNA
Rfam family: Bacterial small subunit ribosomal RNA
Source: RNAcentral
UCCUACGGGAGGCAGCAGUGGGGAAUAUUGGACAAUGGGGGGAACCCUGAUCCAGCCAUGCCGCGUGUGUGAAGAAGGCCCUCGGGUUGUAAAGCACUUUCAGCGAGGAAGAACGCCUAGCGGUUAAUACCCGCUAGGAAAGACAUCACUCGCAGAAGAAGCACCGGCUAACUCCGUGCCAGCAGCCGCGGUAAUACGGAGGGUGCAAGCGUUAAUCGGAAUUACUGGGCGUAAAGCGGGCGUAGGUGGCUUGAUAAGCCGGUUGUGAAAGCCCCGGGCUCAACCUGGGAACGGCAUCCGGAACUGUCAAGCUAGAGUGCAGGAGAGGAAGGUAGAAUUCCCGGUGUAGCGGUGAAAUGCGUAGAGAUCGGGAGGAAUACCAGUGGCGAAGGCGGCCUUCUGGACUGACACUGACACUGAGGUGCGAAAGCGUGGGUAGCAAACAGGAUUAGAUACCCUGGUAGUCCACGCCGUAAACGAUGUCGACCAGCCGUUGGGUGCCUAGCGCACUUUGUGGCGAAGUUAACGCGAUAAGUCGACCGCCUGGGGAGUACGGCCGCAAGGUUAAAACUCAAAUGAAUUGACGG